This 1362-nucleotide ribosomal RNA is filed under the name Triticum aestivum (bread wheat). RNAcentral's name for it is "partial small subunit ribosomal RNA". Lineage: Eukaryota; Viridiplantae; Streptophyta; Magnoliopsida; Poales; Poaceae. The record is from RNAcentral.
AUGGAGGGGUCCUCCUUCCCCGCCUCAUCCUUCCAGCCCCCCGCCAUCGCCCGCGCAAGCUCCCGGUACGCCCCCUGGGCCCUCCUCGACAGCAAGGCCUACUUCGCGGCCCUCGAGAACGACACCACCGUCGAGGCCACCACCAGCACCGGCCACGCCAUCAGGGUCACCUUCUGCCUGGCCGACCCGCCGGCCAUCUCCCACUUCUGCGUCCACGGCCCCGGGCUCGAUCGCGAGGACUUCACGAUGGAGCCCCAGGUCCACUCCUCGGCCAAGGGCCUCGUCCUCCUCCGCUUCGCCUUCACCAUCGGCCCCCGGGCCACCCACCGGCACAACCGCCUCGCCGAGUACUACGUCUACAAGGCCGGCCGCGGCAAGCCGCCGUCGCUCACGCCGAUCCCGCGCACUCCUCCGGGCACCGUAAACUCGUCCUACAUCUGCGUCCUGCCGCUUGACGACGACGACGACGACGACGCCGGGAAAUUCCUACUCGCCGAGCUCGGCAUGACCAGGUCCAACUCCGACUACGAGCUCUACGUCUUCUCCUCCAAGACCGGCGAGUGGACCAUCAGGCAGUUGCGGCUGCAGACACCUCCCGAGGUCAGGAACGAGGACCUGCCCGGCCCUCACAUGGACAAGGCGAUCGCGCUCGGGGGAGGCGCCGUGGGCUGGGUGGACCUCUGGCGCGGCAUCGUCACCUGCAACGUGCUCGACGACAACCCCGUUCUGACUCUCAUCCCCAUACCCACGUGGGACGGUAAGCUGCGGCGGCUGGCCCGGGACAUCACCUGCUGCAGCAAUGGCUUCAUCAAGCUUGUCGACCUGGACCUCCGUUUCAAAAAGAUCGUCGCUGACCAUAACCACAAGACUCGCAAGGUGGCCGAGGAUCUCGACAGCGUAGACAUCAUCUACGAUUCAGACCUGCUCCUCUACGACGACGAUGCAUGCGCCGAACACACUUUUGUGAAUGAUGGUUGGAAGAUCCGGACGUGCUACAGGCAUACUUCCUGGGACUACUGGCGCAAGGGGCACACCGUCGACAUCGAUGAAAUCUCGGUCGACAACCCUGAUCACUUUACGUCGCUCCCACAGCUGUGGGACGCUGAAGCUGCUGGGAGACCGGCACUGAGGAACUUGCUUUCCGCUUUCCCUACCCUCGGCAUUGGCGGCGACGACGACGACGUUGUUUACCUGAUGUCUAAGGUGACAUAUGAUGAUAAGAACGCGUGGAUGGUCGGUGUUAAUCUUGGAAAGAAGACACUGGAUGUGGCUGUGCCAGUUUCUUCCGAGAGAGUCGGUUAUUACGAACCGGACUUCCUCGCUUGUGGAUUCUCCGAAUAUCUGAACGCGACUCCAAGGUAA